This 128-nucleotide small nucleolar RNA is filed under the name Theropithecus gelada (gelada). RNAcentral describes it as "Small nucleolar RNA SNORA31 (ENSTGEG00000008832.1)". The record is from RNAcentral. Lineage: Eukaryota; Metazoa; Chordata; Mammalia; Primates; Cercopithecidae.
AUGCAUCUAUAUGACAGACCUGGAGUAGUUACUGUGUGCUGCUAAGGUUUCUACCUCUAGAUGCAAGAAAGGGUACCCUUGUGCUUUCUGUUUGUCUAGUUGUGCAAGAUUGAAUGAGGAAUAUAGGG